GAUAAAUUAUAAAGUAAAUUUAAAGGAGAAGAAAAAUACCUUCUGACUCAUUUCUGUUUUGCUGGUAACAAACUAUUGCAUAUAUGUGAUGUAGAAAUGGAUUGAGCAUUCUCCAGUUGUGUUCCAGAUUUUCAAAGAAUUCCAAUUCUUCUGGAGCUUUCAGUUGUAUCCCACCUCUGUGUAAGAUAUUUUCUUAAAUCAUUUUACUCCUGGCACACUCUGCACUGCUCAGCAGUCAUGCUAAGCUGAGAAAUCUGGUGUAACUGUUCUGCAUCCAAGCUCUGCCUGCACAAAGUGGUGUAACAAGAGCAUCAGUACAACAUAAUGGAGAUCGUUCCAUGUGCACACAGACUCUGGAAAGAUCCACACUGGGACAGCACAGGCACAUCUCCUCCUCUCCCUAUGUCCACUUGGUAGCACACUUGACCUCUGGGCUUUCUGCUUGCAGAGUGAGGAACCCCAAUGGGUGAGAUCACGGGCAAAGGACCAUGCUUGUCCAGCUUCCAAAUUCAGAAGCCACCAUCUAAGUUCUGGGCUGGUUCAGUCUCCACAUGAGUCAACAGGAGAGAUCUGUCUGCCUAUUCUGCCUCCACUUGGCCAGAUUGGAAAAUUUCAAAUAGCAUGGAAGAAAACAGGCAGAACCUAGUCCAGCCACAACGACAGAUGAAAACUUCAAAAUCAAUAUUGUGAAA
Molecule: long non-coding RNA, 692 nt
Filed under: Numida meleagris (helmeted guineafowl)
Lineage: Eukaryota; Metazoa; Chordata; Aves; Galliformes; Numididae
Description: lncRNA (ENSNMEG00000010480.1)
Source: RNAcentral